GUCCCUUUUGUUACUGACUUGUUACUCGGCUUGCUUUGACUAUCCUAUUUUCUAGCUUCCUUGACCCAGCUUUUCUGACUUCUUUUGACCUCGGCUUGUCUUGUCUCCUUUCUCAUUUUAUAUUUUACCUAUUUUAUCCGGCCAUUCUAAGGACCGGUAUAGGUACUUUCUCUGUCUAUAAUCUGGUGGGUUUAUAUUCUGUUU
Non-coding RNA from Pelobates cultripes (western spadefoot toad), 204 nucleotides. The record is from the annotation of a GenBank genome assembly. NCBI's taxonomy places the organism in Eukaryota, Metazoa, Chordata, Amphibia, Anura, Pelobatidae.